RNAcentral lists this ribosomal RNA (253 nucleotides) under uncultured bacterium. RNAcentral describes it as "partial 16S ribosomal RNA". It matches the Rfam family "Bacterial small subunit ribosomal RNA", at positions 524 to 776 of the family's 1533-position model. The record is from RNAcentral.
UACGGAGGAUCCGAGCGUUAUCCGGAUUUAUUGGGUUUAAAGGGAGCGUAGGCGGGUUGUUAAGUCAGUUGUGAAAGUUUGCGGCUCAACCGUAAAAUUGCAGUUGAUACUGGCAUCCUUGAGUACAGUAGAGGUAGGCGGAAUUCGUGGUGUAGCGGUGAAAUGCUUAGAGAUCAUACAGAACACCGAUUGCGAAGGCAGCUUACCAAGCUACUUCUGACGUUGAGGCACGAAAGCGUGGGGAGCAAACAGG